AGUCUGUGACGCUCAACCUCAGCGAUGAGAGCGUCCCGCUGGUGCUUGGACAUCCGACCAAACUUCACAGCUGAAGGGGACCGUAAACAUUUAGGCCAAGCACUUUUGCAGACGGCAGUGCUGACAGCGAUUGCGGCUGGACCGGUCGAUGGUACAGUUACUCUGCCUGGAACAGGAGUAGGACACCGUGGGCAGCUGGCUACGUCGGAAAAAUCCCUGAGGCAUGAAGAGUUUGGCCACAGACGAAGAGGGAUUAUUAGCAUCGUUUCCUCAAAUCUGAAUUGUAAGGGUCGCGGGCGCGCUGGAACCUAUCCCAGCUGUCUUCGGAGACACACCGAACCGGGUGCCAGCCCAUCGCAAGGCACACAUAUACAAACAAUCAUUCAAGCUCACACUCACAACCAGGGACAAUUUAGGGUGUUCCAUUAACAUGCCACAUAUGUGUUAGGAAACCGGAGUACCCGGAGAAAACCCACUCAGGCACGGGGAGAACAUGCAAAACUCCAUACAGGAAGGCCGGACCCGAAAUCAAACCCGUCACCUCUGCACCGU
This is a long non-coding RNA of Hippocampus zosterae (dwarf seahorse), 552 nucleotides long. RefSeq lists it as uncharacterized. The record is from RefSeq and is a predicted model, not a curated record. Lineage: Eukaryota; Metazoa; Chordata; Actinopteri; Syngnathiformes; Syngnathidae. The transcript is spliced from 3 exons.